Oryza meridionalis is the source of this 208-nucleotide non-coding RNA. Lineage: Eukaryota; Viridiplantae; Streptophyta; Magnoliopsida; Poales; Poaceae. The record is from Rfam.
AAAAAGACAAACUCUGGGUUUCCGUGUCCAACGUUUAACUGUCUGUCUUAUAUUAAAUAUUUUUAUAAUUAGUAUUUUCAUUGUUGUUAGAUGAUAAAACAUGAUUAAUACUUUAUGCGUGACUUAUCUUUUUAAUUUUUUUUCAUAAUUUUUUCAAAUAAGACGGACGGUUAAAUGUUGGACACGGAAACCUAGCGUUUGUCUUUUU